Asterias rubens (European starfish) is the source of this 588-nucleotide long non-coding RNA. RefSeq lists it as uncharacterized. NCBI's taxonomy places the organism in Eukaryota, Metazoa, Echinodermata, Asteroidea, Forcipulatida, Asteriidae. The record is from RefSeq and is a predicted model, not a curated record. The transcript is spliced from 3 exons.
UGGGUUACGGCAGCCUCGUGCGGUGUACUCGUCCGGACCGUAGACCGGCAGGACCCCGCGUCUUUGGGUGAUCAAACCGUUGAGGCUUUCAGAAACGCUUGCCGAACGACACCUUGCUCCUUCGCCUCCGAGCCGAAAUCAAACAGUUUUAGAUUCAUCCUGAAGCCUCUGAGCACCUCCUUCAAGUUCCGGAUUAACUUCAAAGUGAAAGCGGCCGGCCAUGUUGUGCUUUCACUCGGAUUGGCCAGGACUCAACAAUCCGGUUUUGCCUUUAUAGAUAUAAGGGGAAAUGAAUGCCGGGAUUGGGGUAUGCUAUGACGGAUGCCCGUCAUCCACUUUCCUGUUCUCACACAAUGAAGAUGGACUGGUCUCUAGUGAUGAAUAUCGGCCCUUCUGGAUCGAGUGGAUAGGGGGCGCUAUCACGGUGGGCAAAGGGGGACAGAGUCAGGGUUUCACGCUGGCUGACGUCACCGCACAUCUAAAUGCAACGCCUGAUUUUGUGCAUGUUGGUAUCUCUACUUGGAGCACAUACCACGGGGACUGGGUGUUUUAUCAAUAUUGUGAGUAACUAUAAUAAGCACCAUUGAC